UCGAGAAUCUUCGACAAUGGGCGAAAGCCUGACCGAGCGACGCCGCGUGCGGGAUGAAGGCCUUCGGGUUGUAAACCGCUGUCGUAGGGGAGGAAGGAUCUGCGAAGAGCAGAACUUGACCGAUCCUAGGAGGAAGGGCCGGCUAAUCUCGUGCCAGCAGCCGCGGUAAUACGAGAGGCCCAAGCGUUAUUCGGAAUUACUGGGCUUAAAGAGUUCGUAGGCGGCUUGGAAAGUGGGGUGUGAAAGCCCUCGGCUCAACCGAGGAAUUGCGCUCCAAACUCCCAAGCUUGAGGAGGCUAGAGGUGAGCAGAACUGAUGGUGGAGCGGUGAAAUGCGUUGAUAUCAUCAGGAAUACCGGAGGCGAAGGCGGCUCACUGGGACCUUUCUGACGCUGAGGAACGAAAGCUAGGGGAGCGAACGGGAUUAGAUACCCCGGUAGUCCUAGCCGUAAACGGUGAGCACUGGACCGAGGGCCUGCACAGGCUCCCGGUCGUAGCGAAAGUGUUAAG
RNAcentral lists this ribosomal RNA (509 nucleotides) under uncultured Planctomycetota bacterium. RNAcentral describes it as "bacterial SSU rRNA". It matches the Rfam family "Bacterial small subunit ribosomal RNA", at positions 355 to 864 of the family's 1533-position model. The record is from RNAcentral. Lineage: Bacteria; Pseudomonadati; Planctomycetota.